Molecule: long non-coding RNA, 362 nt
Organism: Daphnia carinata
Lineage: Eukaryota; Metazoa; Arthropoda; Branchiopoda; Diplostraca; Daphniidae
Exons: 3
Source: RefSeq, a predicted model, not a curated record
AAUACAUUGCAUCAGACUUUCAGAUUCGCCAACCCAAGUGUGCAUAUGUCUUUCCUGGACAAUUAUUUUAUUUUGCUACUAUGUUUGGUUUUUAUUUGCGUUUCAACAUCCAUUUCAUAGUGGUACAUGUGGCUUUGAUCAAUAUUACCAUAAAGACUGCUGAAAAUAGGUGUGGUACAGAAACCCAGAAAUGGCAUGAGUUCAACAUCAAACAUGAAUUAGAAUUUUAGCGGGGGAUCAAGUCAAGUCUGGAAGUGUUACAGGAUGGAAGAGUCGGCCUGUAGUUGAAAAAACACUGAGAGUGCAUUACUGUUAAGGUAUGAGGUAAAGUAUUAGUGUAAUGAAAAUUGUCUAAUGAGAAG